CAAUUGGAAUAACUCCGAGCCUGCUUACCUAACUCUUUGACAAGGUAUGUAGGCCGCAAAAUUCACAUUUGUGAUUUUGCCAGGGUUGCAAGAGAAAUCGACCAGCCUCCCCUAAGCUCGCAGCAGCAAGCUUUACUUUGGAAAGGUGUUACUUAUGUUAGAAG
This 164-nucleotide non-coding RNA is filed under the name Paraglaciecola hydrolytica. RNAcentral's name for it is "Paraglaciecola sp. S66 Molybdenum/Tungsten riboswitch aptamer (Moco RNA motif)". It matches the Rfam family "Molybdenum/Tungsten riboswitch aptamer (Moco RNA motif)". The record is from Rfam by way of RNAcentral. Lineage: Bacteria; Pseudomonadati; Pseudomonadota; Gammaproteobacteria; Alteromonadales; Alteromonadaceae. RNAcentral also lists the same sequence under 1 other name.